Molecule: long non-coding RNA, 213 nt
Filed under: Trifolium pratense (red clover)
Lineage: Eukaryota; Viridiplantae; Streptophyta; Magnoliopsida; Fabales; Fabaceae
Description: long non-coding RNA (TPRA_LNC004929)
Source: RNAcentral
GCUCCCCACAUAAAGCAAUCUGGUGGUUUAUUGAAAGAGAGAGGAAUUUGAAUAAUUUGUUGUGCUUCAAAAGGAAAGAAAGUGUCGUUAAUCAAUUGAUAAUUCCAGCCUCCAUGUUCUUCAUGUAAUAAAUCUGCUACUACCACAAGAUCACAAUUAUUUGGCUUAGGGGACCAAACUUUGUAACCUUGUUGGAACGGUAACCAAUUAUCC